GGGGGGGGGGGGGGGGGGGGGGGGGGGGGGGGGGGGGGGCGGGGGGGGCCGGCGGGUGUGGGGUGCUCGAGGGGCGAACGGGUGGGUAACACGUGAGUAACCGGCCCUUGACUUUGGGAUAACUUCAGGAAACUGGGGCUAAUACCGGAUAGGAGCUCCUGCUGCAUGGUGGGGGUUGGAAAGUUUCGGCGGUUGGGGAUGGACUCGCGGCUUAUCAUCUUGUUGGUGGGGUAGUGGCUUACCAAGGCUUUGACGGGUAGCCGGCCUGAGAGGGUGACCGGCCACAUUGGGACUGAGAUACGGCCCAGACUCCUACGGGAGGCAGCAGUGGGGAAUAUUGCACAAUGGGCGGAAGCCUGAUGCAGCAACGCCGCGUGCGGGAUGACGGCCUUCGGGUUGUAAACCGCUUUCGCCUGUGACGAAGCGUGAGUGACGGUAAUGGGUAAAGAAGCACCGGCUAACUACGUG
Molecule: ribosomal RNA, 468 nt
Filed under: uncultured bacterium
Lineage: Bacteria
Description: partial 16S ribosomal RNA
Rfam family: Bacterial small subunit ribosomal RNA (bases 48-468)
Source: RNAcentral